Molecule: ribosomal RNA, 177 nt
Filed under: uncultured Gammaproteobacteria bacterium
Lineage: Bacteria; Pseudomonadati; Pseudomonadota; Gammaproteobacteria
Description: partial 16S ribosomal RNA
Rfam family: Bacterial small subunit ribosomal RNA
Source: RNAcentral
ACUCCUACGGGAGGCAGCAGUGGGGAAUAUUGGACAAUGGGCGAAAGCCUGAUCCAGCCAUGCCGCGUGUGUGAAGAAGGUCUUCGGAUUGUAAAGCACUUUAAGUUGGGAGGAAGGGCAUUAACCUAAUAUGUUAGUGUUUUGACGUUACCGACAGAAUAAGCACCGGCUAACUUC